GGUUAAGUGACUAAGCGUACACGGUGGAUGCCUUGGCAGUCAGAGGCGAUGAAGGACGUACUAACUUGCGAUAAGCCAUGAUGAGGCAGUAAGAGCCGCAUGAGUCAUGGAUUUCCGAAUGGGGAAACCCACUCUGUUUACAGAGUAUCUUGCACUGAAUACAUAGGUGCAAGA
Molecule: ribosomal RNA, 174 nt
Filed under: Alkalimonas delamerensis
Lineage: Bacteria; Pseudomonadati; Pseudomonadota; Gammaproteobacteria
Description: partial 23S ribosomal RNA
Rfam family: Bacterial large subunit ribosomal RNA
Source: RNAcentral